This is a long non-coding RNA of Leptonychotes weddellii (Weddell seal), 2975 nucleotides long. RefSeq lists it as uncharacterized. The record is from RefSeq and is a predicted model, not a curated record. Lineage: Eukaryota; Metazoa; Chordata; Mammalia; Carnivora; Phocidae.
AGUUAUUAAAGUAUACGCCAAGUGCUGUUCUCAACACUGCAGAUGUAGCAGGACACAGAGAAGGUUUUGCCCUCAAAAAGUAACUAUUGGAGAGAGGGGCAGGAAUCAGACUAUUUAAGUCAUGAUACAGAGUUUGGAUAUUAUUAUAGGUGCAGUUGAAGAGUAUUGGUGGAAGGAUAUGAUCAGAUUUGGGUUUUUUUUUUAUAGGAUCACCAUGAAGAGGAGAAUCCACUAUACAGAAUAUGUAUGGGCCAGAGUCCUAGCCUUCUGCUACUUUCCACUGGAAUUGAAUCAUUCCAGGAUCAACAAAACUGUGGCCAUAAUUUCCUCCCAACAAUCCUUCAAACAGCAUUGACUCUUGGUUAGCUCAAAGGGUCAAGGAGGCCAAAGCCAUGGUUUGAUCAUGUGGCCAUCAGUAUUGCAUUGUUCCAUGACAAAUCCUACCCCUCUUCUUUUCUAGCUGGCUGUACUUCAUAGGCUCCCAUUGGUCAUAUAGGACACCAGACAAGAAGCUAGGAAAGAUCACCGACUGUGGUACCUAUUGCCCAAAGUUGUGGUCUGAAGGAUCAAAGGACAGAUAAAGUCACAUCUUAAAGAGGGGCCAACAUUAAGACCCGGAAAAAGAGGACCAAAUAAGUUUGUCAAUCGCAGAAGCAAGAAGGAGAAUAAAGGAUACUGAGCCAUACAAGAAGAUACCCAGGAUGCUGAUGGAUGAGGAAUAUAGAGUAGGUGGAUCGGAGAGGAGAAAUUUGGACACAGAGACAGACACACCAUAGGAAGAAUGCCAUAUGAACAUGAAGCAGAGAUGGGGUGAGCCUUUGUGAGCCAAUGAACAGCAAAGAUUGGAAGCAAACCCCCAGAAGCUAGAGAGAGCAUAGAACAGAUUCUUCCUCCCAGGCUUCAGAAGGACGCAAUCUUGCUGACACCUUGAUCUUGGACUUCUAGCCUCUGAAACUGUGAGACAACAUGUUUCUGUUGUCCCACAGGCCCUGGAGAUGCUCUCACAGGAAGGAAUGCCUGGGGGACAUGGGACCAGAUGACCACAUCAGUUACAGUUUACGUUUAGAAGGAACCAUUCCAGUGUCACAUGGCAGAAGACGUAAGAGGAUGGGUCACAGUUGAUGGGAGCUGAUUGGUGCUGAAGCAGACUCCAGUUCAUUUCCGUUCACCUCAUUAUUUGUUUGAAUUCUGGGCUGAAGCCAAGCAACAAACAUGAACAUUCCCCCUGCGGAGCAGGCGCACACAGACACUUGGAGGCACGCUUACACGUGCCGCACUCUCCCAGGCAUGCACACAUGUUUACACGAGCGCGCGUCCUCACCCGGACACACUCGCACACAGGCGCUCACCCAUGCAGACACUCCCUACUUGCCUACACGCACUCCUGCACACGGGCACACACAGCUGCUCCAGCUGCGGUCAGCUGUGCAAGGUCUCUGCCUUCCGUGACUGGGGCGUCUAGGAGAACUUCAAACCUGAGAGUUCCUCCUCUCGCCCUCCUGUUCCCCUGGCCGCCUGGACACCGACGCUUGCCAUCUGUAAUCCAUCACUACAGGUCUUACGCCCCGUUUCCAGCCAUUGUCAAUCGAGUGGGAGACCUUCCAACCUUCUGUCUCAAUGAAAGUCAACUGUUGUCAACCCAAGCUCCCAUGAAGCUCCAGGGACUAGCCUGACUUGGAUUUUAAACAGUCCUGCUGCCCGCCCUGCCUGUGAAUCAGGCUGGGCUCCAGACGAGGUGGGGAAGCCCUCUAGUGGCCAAGGCUGAAGUGACAAUAGGCGUGGAGGGCUCCGGGAUGUCGCAGGAACCAGUCCACUCUUCCUGAAACCACAGUCCCUAAAAUCUUUACAGCCUAAAUCCUCCCUCUCCAUCACCCCCAGAUCCUUCUAGUCACCAGGUCCUAUCAAUUUCCCUCCCAAACAGCUGUCCCUGUUGCCCACCCUAGCUCUGCCUUAUCACCCAUGCGUCGUAGGGCUGCAGUGGACCGUUGCCUGGACCUCUGUGACUGAUCCAUUACGGACCUCGCUGCCAAAUUCAUCUCCCAGACCCUCACUGUUGGUCUUCUAUGUUCUCUGUUUAAGACUUCCAGACUUCCCCUCUGGUCUCUAGCGGUGAUCCUCAAAAGGGAGACACACUGUCUCAGGACAGGUUGAGCAGCAUUUCCACACACAGUCUAGAGAUGUUGAUGUUCCUCCCCACACCAUGCUCAUGUUGGACCACUUCUAUCGAGGUGUCGUUCCUGCCCUAUUACUCAAAUGUAGAGGGCUGAGGAAAAGAUGGAGAACCACAAGUCCUCGGGGCAAAAGUUCAAACAUCUCAGCCCCCCACAGCCUGGCCUUAAAUUUCUUUUCUAGGUUUAGUGUUACAGUGUAACAUCGAGGUUAAGGACUAGAAUCAGUCUGGCUUAGAACCCCAGGUGUACAACUUAUUAGCUCUGUAAUGGUAUGGAAGGUUCUAGAUCCUUAGUUUCUUUACAGGGUUCUUGAGAUGUUAAUGAGGUAGCCUGUGUAUGAGACUUAGCCCAGUGCUUGCCCCACGGUCAGUGCUCACUUAAGGACAGCUGUAAUUAGUACUCCUCUGUCUAUAAGCCGACUGGUUCGCGCACAGGUCAGGCAUGUCCUUGCACUUUCCAUCUCUGCACUUCGGCUCUUGACGCUUUAUUUGCCUGGAAUGUCCCCUCCCUCCUCUCUAAUGUCAAGACCUCACCUGUUCUGCUGUGCCCAGCUCAAAUUUCUUCACCUGCUUAGGGACCUGAGCUAAUCCUGGACUUACGGACCUCAUAUAUUAUCUCUUGUGAGAGGGAACAAAUACUUUGUGAGAGUGCACCGUAUAAACUUAUGCAAGUGUGUAAUAGACAAAUAUGUGGGAUAUUUAAUUGUGCAAUCAUUCUAAAAAAUUAGAUAAAGCCUUAUAAUGUGUUUUCAUGUGUUACUAGAAUAGUUAUUCAAAUUGUUUUAAUAUCUUACUUCUCUGAAUA